CCUGGUUGAUCCUACCAGUAGUCAUAUGCUUGUCUCAAAGAUUAAGCCAUGCAUGUCUAAGUAUGAACUAAUUUAGACUGUGAAACUGUGGAUGGCUCAUUAAAUCAGUUAUAGUUUUUUUGAUGGUACCAUACUACUCAGAUAACCGUAGUAAUUCUAGAGCUAAUACGUGCACCAAGUCCCGACUCUUUGGAAGGGAUGCAUUUUUUAGAUAAAAGGCUAGUGUGGGCUUGCCCGCUUCUCCGGUGAAUCAUGUUAAAUCGAUGGAUCGCACAGCCCUUGUGCUGGCGAUGCUUCAUUCAAAUUUUUGUCCUAUCAACUUUCGAUGGUAGGAUAGAGGCCUACCAUGGUGGUGAUAGGUGACGAAGAAUUAGGGUUCAAUUUCAAAGAGGGAGCUUGAGAAAUGGCUACCACAUCCAAGGAAGGCAGCAGGCAUGCAAAAUUACCCAAUCCUGACAUGGGGAGGUAGUGACAAUAAAUAACAAUAUUAGGCUCAUCGGGCUUGGUAAUUGGAAUGAGUACAAUCUAAAUCCCUUAAUGAGGAUCCAUUGGAGGGAAAGUUUGGUGCCAGCAGCCAUGAUAAUUCCAACUCCAAUAGCGUAUAUUUAAGUUGUUGUAGUUAAAAAGCCCUUAGUUGGAUCUUGGGUCAUAGUCGGUCCGCCUACUCGAUGUGCACUUUCCCUUCCGUCCAUUUUGUCACUGGUGUGCUCCUAGCCUUAAUUGGCUGGGUCGCGGCUUUGGUGCUAUUACUUUGAAAAAUUAGAGUGCUCAAAGCAAGCUUAUGCUCUAAAUACAUUAGCAUGGAAUAACGUGAUAGGCGUUUCAUCCUAUUGUGUGGGCCUUCGGGACCGGAGUAAUGAUUAAUAGGGACUUUCGGGGGCAUUCAUAUUUCAUUUUCAGAGGUGAAAUUCUUGGAUUUAUGAAAGACGGACCACUACAAAAGCAUUUUCCAAGGAUGUUUUCAUUAAUCAAAUAUGAAAGUUUGGGGCUCGAAGACGAUCAGAUACCAUUCUAGUCUCAACCAUAAACGAUGUCGACCAGGGAUCGGCAGAUGUCACUCUAAGGAUUCCACCAGCACCUUCUGAGAAAUCAGAGUGUUUGGGUUCCAGGGGGAGUGUGGUCACAGGGUUGAAACUUAAAGGAAUUGAUGGAAGGGCACCACCAGGAGUGGAGCUUGCGGCUUAAUUUGACUCAACACGAGGAAACUUAUCAGGUCCAGACAUAGUAAGGGUUGAGAGAUUGAGAGCUCUUUCUUGAUUAUAUGGGUGUUGAUGCAUGGCCUUUCUUAGUUGGUGGAGCGAUUUGUCUGGUUAACUCCGAUAAUGAAUGAGACCUCAGCCUUCCAACUAGCUAUGUGGAGGUUCCCCUUCACGGCCAGCUUCUUAGAGGGAUUAUGGCCAUUCAGGCCAUGGAAGUUUGAGGCAAUAAUAUGUCUGUGAUGCCCUUAGAUGCUCUAGGCUGUACACGCACUACACUGAUGCAGCCAACACGUUUUUAUUCUUGAUUCGAGAGGAUCGGGAAAUAUUCUAAAAUUGCGUCAUGAUGGGGAUAGACCAUUGCAAUUAUUGGUCUUCAACAAGGAAUUCCUAGUAGGUGCGUGUCAUCAACUCGUGUUGACUACGUCCUUACCCUUUGCACACACCACUCGUCGCUCCUAUUGAUUGAAUGAUCCAGUGAAGUGUUUGGAUUGCGUCGACGAUGGUGGUUCGUCGUCGUCAACGUCAUGAGAAUUUCAUUGAACCUUAUCAUUUAGAGGAAGGAGAAGUCAUAACAAGGUUACCGUAGGUGAACCUGCGGUAG
Molecule: ribosomal RNA, 1800 nt
Filed under: Pinus taeda (loblolly pine)
Lineage: Eukaryota; Viridiplantae; Streptophyta; Pinopsida; Pinales; Pinaceae
Description: SSU rRNA
Rfam family: Eukaryotic small subunit ribosomal RNA
Source: RNAcentral